UGGGGGAUAUUGCACAAUGGGCGAAAGCCUGAUGCAGCGACGCCGCGUGGGGGAUGAAGGCCUUCGGGUUGUAAACUUCUUUUGCUCUGAACAAGGCAUGCCUUUGGGGUGUGUUGAGUGUAGGGGUUGAUUAGCGCCGGCUAACUACGUGCCAGCAGCCGCGGUAAUACGUAGGGCGCGAGCGUUGUCCGGAAUUAUUGGGCGUAAAGGGCUUGUAGGUGGCUGGUUGCGUCUGUCGUGAAAGCUCAUGGCUUAACUGUGGGUUUGCGGUGGGUACGGGCUGGCUUGAGUGCAGUAGGGGAGGCUGGAAUUCCUGGUGUAGCGGUGGAAUGCGCAGAUAUCAGGAGGAAUAACGGUGGCGAAGGCGGGUCUCUGGGCUGUUACUGACGCUGAGGAGCGAAAGCGUGGGGAGCGAACAGG
RNAcentral lists this ribosomal RNA (420 nucleotides) under Fusobacteriota bacterium. Its description in RNAcentral is "Fusobacteria bacterium partial 16S ribosomal RNA". It matches the Rfam family "Bacterial small subunit ribosomal RNA", at positions 355 to 776 of the family's 1533-position model. Lineage: Bacteria; Fusobacteriati; Fusobacteriota. The record is from RNAcentral.